UUGUCGACAGAAGAGCGAAUGUGUCUUUUGCAGCGUGAGCGAUUCCUCUUAACAUUGUGGAAGUCAGCCCUGUGGAGACAGAACAACGGUUACUUUUGUUGAUGCCAACCACCCCCAGUAGGCAGAGUCCUUGUGGAAUAGAAGAGAAAUUACUGUUAUGAUAAUGCAGUCUAAUCUACAGAACAGACUGAGAAACCUAUUGUUGGAACAGCUAUACAAGAUUCCUAGAAUCUAUAGUCUGUCUUCUAAGAAAAUACCUGGUUUGUUUAGAGAAUUUGAUAGAUUCUCUAUCUAGUUGCCAGGUAACACUAUAUAUUUUCCAGAGGUAAAACACUGUCUCAAGAAAGUGUACCUUUGCUUUUAGGUUGCUUUUUUAUGCUUAUAAAAUCUGGACUCGUGUUACUACAUCAUAAACUAACAGAAUAAUUUCCUAUAUGCAAACUUAUGUUAUUAACAGAAGCUGUUUACUGGUAACUUCUUGUUUGGUAUUACUUCAAAUCUCUGAGGCAAAAUCCAGUUGCCUAAUGAAGCUGCUUGUGUCGUAACCCCAAGGCUGCUUAUUUUGUCUUCAUAAACUUUGUAACUUGAGAAGUGCUCUCCAGCAAGCCCCACCACAGAACAAGCGAUUUUUCCCAACAAACCUGAAAGCACUGGAAGUGUAGGUAAGUCACAGACGUUUUGUGUGCUGACCUUUCCAUGUCCUGAAAAAGUGACUUUUUCAGGGGAAUGCAAACUAAAGCCUCUCCUCCACAGGCAGGAGACAAAACUGCCUGUGUCUGAGCACAGAAUUUAGGGGGUCCAGUCAAAGUAAGUAAAUCCCUGAAGGAUCAGGGCUCUCUUCAUUAAUGCUUCAGCCCAGCUGGAAAUUGCCAGCAAGUAUUGUUAAAAUUGUAUGGCAUGUCAGAUGAUACAGUACAAACUGGAAAAAUAACCAUGACUUGCUUUUACUUCAAUAAGUAAAAUAAGUAAUCCUGCUCUUAAACAAAAUUGCCUUCUGAGUAAUGCAGCCAUUUAAAAUACAGUCAUUUUCACUAUUACAGAGCUUUUAAAAAAUUCUGAUAAAUUGUGCCCUUCCACAGCCUAACACGGAAAUUAUUGUUAUGCUCACUUAAAAAAGGUUCUAAGUUUUCUGAAAAUUUCUGACAUCAGUCAAUUUUUUCCCUGUUGUGAGGAUCAUCAGAAACAGAAUACUGUAGAAGGAAGAAAAACUUUAUUUGCUAAACAAAUGCAUUUGACUGGAGUACUCAGGAGCCCAUGUAAUUAAGCACUAUGCAAAAUACAACAUCCAAAAAAGAACAUGAAUGAAUUUUAUGUCAUGGUGUUUAUAGAA
Molecule: long non-coding RNA, 1330 nt
Organism: Corapipo altera (White-ruffed manakin)
Lineage: Eukaryota; Metazoa; Chordata; Aves; Passeriformes; Pipridae
Exons: 3
Source: RefSeq, a predicted model, not a curated record